UUUCUCUGGUUCUCCAUUGAGGAAGUAAAAGUCGUAACAAGGUUUCCGUAGGUGAACCUGCGGAAGGAUCAUUAAAUAAUUUAGAUGGCCUUUGCUAGUUUUCUAGCGAAUGGUUCAUUCUUUUUUACUGUGAACUGUUUUAAUUUUUCAGCGUCUGAGGAAUGUCUUUUAGCCAUAGGGAUAGGCUACUAGAAUGUUAACCGAGCUGAAAGUCAGGCUUAGGCCUGGUAUCCUAUUAAUUAUUUACCAAAAGAAUUCAGUAUUAUAAUUGUAACAUAAGCGUAAAAAACUUAUAAAACAACUUUUAACAACGGAUCUCUUGGUUCUCGCAUCGAUGAAGAACGUAGCAAAGUGCGAUAACUAGUGUGAAUUGCAUAUUCAGUGAAUCAUCGAGUCUUUGAACGCAACUUGCGCUCAAUGGUAUUCCAUUGAGCACGCCUGUUUCAGUAUCAAAAACACCCCACAUUCAUAAUUUUGUUGUGAAUGGAAUUGAGAGUUUCGGCUUUAUUGCUGAAUUCUUUAAAAUUAUUAGGCCUGAACUAUUGUUCUUUCUGCCUGAACAUUUUUUUAAUAUAAAGGAAUGCUCUAGUAAAAAGACUAUCUCUGGGGCCUCCCAAAUAAAUCAUUCUUAAAUUUGAUCUGAAAUCAGGCGGGAUUACCCGCUGAACUUAAGCAUAUCAAAACGGGAAGGAA
Molecule: ribosomal RNA, 693 nt
Filed under: Mucor sp. OTU017 AN-2016
Lineage: Eukaryota; Fungi; Mucoromycota; Mucoromycetes; Mucorales; Mucoraceae
Description: eukaryotic LSU rRNA
Rfam family: 5.8S ribosomal RNA (bases 300-452)
Source: RNAcentral